This 28-nucleotide non-coding RNA is filed under the name Homo sapiens (human). Lineage: Eukaryota; Metazoa; Chordata; Mammalia; Primates; Hominidae. The record is from RNAcentral.
UUGGCAGGAAUGCUGGCUGUAGCUGUGU